Molecule: ribosomal RNA, 479 nt
Filed under: uncultured bacterium
Lineage: Bacteria
Description: partial 16S ribosomal RNA
Rfam family: Bacterial small subunit ribosomal RNA
Source: RNAcentral
GACGAACGCUGGCGGCGUGCUUAACACAUGCAAGUCGAACGAAGCUUGAUUACGGAUUCUUCGGAUGAAGUAUGAUAUGACUGAGUGGCGGACGGGUGAGUAACGCGUGAGUAACCUGCCCUUCAGAGGGGGGUAGCGUUUGGAAACGAACGGUAAUACCGCAUAAUGUAUUUUGACCGCAUGAUCGAAAUACCAAAGAUUUAUCGCUGAAGGAUGGACUCGCGUCUGAUUAGGUAGUUGGUGGGGUAACGGCCUACCAAGCCGACGAUCAGUAGCCGGACUGAGAGGUUGAUCGGCCACAUUGGGACUGAGACACGGCCCAGACUCCUACGGGAGGCAGCAGCGGGGAAUAUUGCACAAUGGGCGCAAGCCUGAUGCAGCAACGCCGCGUGAAGGAAGACGGUUUUCGGAUUGUAAACUUCUGUUCUUAGUGAAGAAUAAUGACGGUAGCUAAGGAGCAAGCCACGGCUAACUACGUG